Molecule: long non-coding RNA, 3333 nt
Filed under: Brassica napus (rape)
Lineage: Eukaryota; Viridiplantae; Streptophyta; Magnoliopsida; Brassicales; Brassicaceae
Description: long non-coding RNA (BNAP_LNC010207)
Source: RNAcentral
CAGAUGAGGGUAAACGAGGAAGUUUAGACUGGAAGAAACGAUGGGAUAUCAUUGGAGGAAUCGCGAGGGGAUUGCUUUACUUGCAUAGAGACUCAAGACUAAAAAUCAUUCACCGUGACCUAAAAGCUAGCAAUAUCUUGCUGAGGACAAAACUAAUUUUCAAAAAAAAGUAGGUUAGUUUUGUGUUUGACUUUAAGUUGUAGGUCAAUUCUGCAAAAAGCGAUUGUAAAAGGAUUUUCAGAUUGAAUUAUAAUUAUUAUUUAUAAUUAGACUAAAUUAAUAUCAACUAAUAGAAAUAUUACUGUAUAUUAAUACUUUGAAAAGGAAAAUAAUUUUUUUAAUAGAUGAUAGUAUGGUACUAGAUACUAGAAAGACUCGAAAAAGAAAAAUAGAUUGUGGAAUAAUAAAUCUUGGAUUUUUCACAACGACCAAACCAAAGAAGUCGCAUCUUCAAUAAGAAAAAAAUUGAUUGACACAAACAUUUCUGGCCUUGCAAGUCACAGUUCUCCAUUAAAAGUCUAAAUAAAAACGUGAAAAAUUCAUAAUGUUGUCAUUCGUCAACAGUCAAACACGAUACGCUGGUUGUCCUUUUACAGUCGUUGGUACUGUAUUUUGUUUGGAUUAAUACAAUUCGUUUCUAGAAUAUAAAUACAUAUAUAUAUUCAUGACUUAAUCUCUUUAUAUACGAAAACAAAUACAAGUCGCUAAUUUUGGAAAGUCCAAUUAGUAUAGUCUUCCUGAAAAAUCAGCAAACUUACAAAAAGAUAUAAAAUUCGACGGCCACUAUUAUUGCUCUUUCCAUUAAUUUCUUUCAUGAUAUAUACAGACAUCUGAGAAUCAAAUCUCAGAUAUGGCAGAGUUUAAAAGAAACCUUACCUUGGUCACGACCCUUUCGAUUUUGCUUCAACUAUGCAGCAUCGUAUCUUGCACCACAAGCACCUCAAUCACCAGAAACAACACCAUACGAGACGGAGACGCACUGAUCAGCGAGGAAGAAGUCUUCGAGCUCGGAUUCUUCAGCCCGAAAGAUUCAACCUUAAGGUAUGUCGGAAUCUGGUACAAGAACAUCGAACCUCAAACAAUUGUCUGGGUAGCAAACCGAGAGAGGCCAUUGUCUGAUCACAACGGAACUCUGAAGCUUGUAGAUGACGGGAACUUGGUGGUCGUAGAUGGACAAAACAACACCGUUUGGUCCACAAACGUGCCGCCCAAGUUGAACAAUACCGUUGCUGUUCUAUUGGAAACAGGGGAUCUGGUUCUGUCUUCAGAUUCAGACAGGGACACUAGGUUUUGGGAGAGCUUUAACAACCCAACUGAUACUUUCUUGCCCGGUAUGAGGGUUAGGGUGAACCCAACAAGCGGAGAGAAUCGCGCUUUUACACCAUGGAUGUCCGAAACUGAUCCUUCACCAGGAAGGUAUUCGUUAGGGAUUGAUCCUAUUGGACCACCAGAGAUUGUGAUUUGGGAAGGAGAAACGAGGAAAUGGCGAAGCGGUCCGUGGGAUUCGGUUAUCUUUACCGGUAUACCGGACAUGUCCCGUGUCACAAACUAUAUUUACGGGUUUAAGCUUUCUUCUCCUCCUGAAAGAGAUGGUAGCGUGUACUUCACGUAUGUUCCGUCAGAUAGCUCUGACUUGCUAAGGUUUCAGAUUACGCUUGAUGGUGUAAUAGAGCAGUUCAGAUGGAACAAAGAUGGCAAGAACUGGACUUUGCUUCUGUUGAAACCGAGCACGGAAUGUGAGAAGUAUAACCGUUGCGGUAAUUACAGCGUAUGUGACGAGAGCAAAGAGUUUGGUUCCGGUAAAUGUAGUUGCAUCGAUGGGUUUGAGCCGGUGAAUCAGAAUCUGUGGGACGAUGGAGAUUUCUCGGGUGGCUGCAAAAGAAGAGUGCCAUUGAACUGUAGCCAGAGUCUGAGAGAAGACGAGUUCAUGGAACUUAGGGGAAUGAAGUUGCCUGAUUUUGGAUCAUUUGUCUCCCUUAGAAGCUCAGAGACUUGUAAAGAUGUAUGCGUCAGGGAUUGCUUGUGUAAUGCUUAUGCGUUUGUUAGAGGGAUCGGAUGCAUGAUUUGGACUAGAGAUUUGAUAGAUAUGGAGCGUUUUCAGCAUGGUGGACAGUCUAUUAACAUCCGGCUAGCGGAAUCUGAACUAGGUCUGUAAAAUGUUUGAGUAGUCAUAAUACAUUUUGAAAGAUUAAACAUAACUGAUCCUAAAAUACUUGGAUUUCUUUUGUUGUGUGAGUAGGUGGGAAGGAAAACUCAAAGCUAUGGAUCAUUAUUUUAAGUGUUAUAGGAGCCUUCUUGCUCGUAUUAUGCAUUUGGAUCUUGUGGAAGUUCAAGAAAAGAGUUAAAGGUAAAGUCUCUAGUCACACACACUGCUUUAAAAAGAGUACGUGCAUAUAUGCUAACUGAUCAAUUAUUUGUUGGUUGUAAGUCAUGUAAUAUUUUUUUCGUUAUUUUUAAUAGAAUAAAUCAGCUUUAAAAAAAACUAAAGUAUCAAUUGUUUAAUAAUAUGCAGCUAUAUUGUGGAGGAAUAAACACCUUCCAGUUUUCGAAGAGAACAAAGACUACUCGGUGAAGUCCUCAAGCUCGACGAGCCAAGUUCUGGUAGGGGGUCUAGUUGACACACCAGAUUUUCCCAUUUUCAGUUUCAACAGCGUUGCCUUAGCAACAGGAAAUUUCGCUGAAGAAAACAAGCUUGGACAGGGCGGAUUUGGUACUGUAUAUAAGGUCAAGCAAUGGAAUAUUACUAGUAGUAAUCUUAUUGAGACUAAUGUUGGUGAUAAAGUUUUAAUCCUUAUCUAACAAUUGUGUUGUGUUUGAACAGGGAAACUUUCCAGGGGACACAGAGAUCGCGGUGAAGAGAUUAUCAGGGAAAUCCAAGCAAGGGCUAGAGGAAUUCAAGAACGAGAUCUUACUGAUUGCAAAACUCCAGCAUCGAAAUCUUGUUAGAUUAGUAGGAUGUUGCAUUGAAAACAAUGAGAAAAUACUUCUCUAUGAAUACAUGCCAAAUAAGAGCUUGGACAGUUUCCUUUUCGGUAUGUUUUCUUCAAAAAAAUUUGGAAGUUUUCUGGAUUGAGUAUAUAACUAGUCCUUUGCGCAGAUGAGGGUAAACGAGGAAGUUUAGACUGGAAGAAACGAUGGGAUAUCAUUGGAGGAAUCACGAGGGGAUUGCUUUACUUGAAUAGAGACUCAAGACUAAAAAUCAUUCACCGUGACCUAAAAGCUAGCAAUAUCUUGCUUGACAAGGAAAUGAAUCCGAAGAUUUCGGAUUUUGGUAUGGCUCGGAUCUUCAACUACCGACAAGAUCAGGCCAACACGAUCCGAGUUGUCGGCACA